Molecule: non-coding RNA, 447 nt
Organism: Cinara cedri
Lineage: Eukaryota; Metazoa; Arthropoda; Insecta; Hemiptera; Aphididae
Source: the annotation of a GenBank genome assembly
GUGAAUCUAAUUGUCCAUGUUUAUGUGUUGAACCGAGGAUGCAUAAAACAUUGAAUAAACAGGCAAAUGUAGGAUGCAUUUGGUUAUUCCUAUUAGUCAUUACACAUUUAACCAUACCAAUUGUGUUAUAAAUCUUGUACUACCUAAGGAUUUAAUCAUUAAUUAUUUUAGAAUAACUUUCACUUUGCACAUUUUUUAGAAAUGAGUUAUGCAGGUAACUAAUUCUUAAAAUUAGGUCAAAUUUGAACAUAACAUAAGAUUUGUAAUAUUUUUCAAAUUAGGCAGAUAGGUGCAAAGCUGCAACUAGACCAAGCUGUAUCAUAUUGUGUAGUUAAUUAUUAACUAAAAAUAAAAAUAUGUAUAAGUAUAUUUCUUGCAGAAUACUAUUUUUUAAAUGAAACAGUCAAACUCAAUUCUGGAAUUUGAUUCAGGUAAGUAUUUACUUUG